AAUGAACGCUGGCGGCGCGCCUAAUACAUGCAAGUCGAGCGAGAAGACGUAGCAAUACGUUUGUAAAGCGGCGAACGGGUGAGGAAUACAUGGGUAACCUACCCUCGAGUGGGGAAUAACUAGCCGAAAGGUUAGCUAAUACCGCGUACGCUCCUUUGGACUUCGGUUCAGGGAGGAAAGCGAUACCGUGGGUAUCGCGCUCUUGGUUGGGCUCAUGUCCUAUCAGCUUGUUGGUGAGGUAACGGCUCACCAAGGC
This 256-nucleotide ribosomal RNA is filed under the name uncultured bacterium. RNAcentral describes it as "partial 16S ribosomal RNA". It matches the Rfam family "Bacterial small subunit ribosomal RNA", at positions 29 to 274 of the family's 1533-position model. The record is from RNAcentral.